Molecule: ribosomal RNA, 672 nt
Filed under: uncultured Actinomadura sp.
Lineage: Bacteria; Bacillati; Actinomycetota; Actinomycetes; Streptosporangiales; Thermomonosporaceae
Description: bacterial SSU rRNA
Rfam family: Bacterial small subunit ribosomal RNA
Source: RNAcentral
AGACACGGCCAGACUCCUACGGGAGGCAGCAGUGGGGAAUAUUGUGCAAUGGGCGGAAGCCUGACGCAGCGACGCCGCGUGGGGGAUGACGGCCUUCGGGUUGUAAACCUCUUUCAGCAGGGACGAAGCUAACGUGACGGUACCUACAGAAGAAGCGCCGGCUAACUACGUGCCAGCAGCCGCGGUAAUACGUAGGGCGCAAGCGUUGUCCGGAAUUAUUGGGCGUAAAGAGCCCGUAGGCGGUUUGUCGCGUCUGUCGUGAGAGCCCACGGCUUACCGUGGGUCUGCGGUGGAUACGGGCAGACUAGAGGCAGGUAGGGGAGAAUGGAAUUCCCGGUGUAGCGGUGAAAUGCGCAGAUAUCGGGAGGAACACCGGUGGCGAAGGCGGUUCUCUGGGCCUGUACUGACGCUGAGGAGCGAAAGCGUGGGGAGCGGACAGGAUUAGAUACCCUGGUAGUCCACGCCGUAAACGUUGGGCGCUAGGUGUGGGGUUCUUCCACGGAUUCCGCGCCGUAGCUAACGCAUUAAGCGCCCCGCCUGGGGAGUACGGCCGCAAGGCUAAGACUCAAAGGAAUUGACGGGGGCCCGCACAAGCGGCGGAGCAUGUUGCUUAAUUCGACGCAACGCGAAGAACCUUACCAAGGCUUGACAUCGCCGGAAAACUCGCAGAGA